GACGAACCGAGCGAACGUUGUUCGGAAUCACUGGGCUUAAAGGGCGCGUAGGCGGGUGCUCAAGUCCGGGGUGAAAUCCUCCAGCUCAACUGGAGAACUGCCUCGGAUACUGGGCGUCUCGAGUGUGGUAGGGGUAUGCGGAACUAUCGGUGGAGCGGUGAAAUGCGUUGAUAUCGAUAGGAACUCCGGUGGCGAAGGCGGCAUACUGGACCACCACUGACGCUGAUGCGCGAAAGCCAGGGGAGCAAACGGG
RNAcentral lists this ribosomal RNA (253 nucleotides) under uncultured bacterium. Its description in RNAcentral is "partial 16S ribosomal RNA". It matches the Rfam family "Bacterial small subunit ribosomal RNA", at positions 524 to 776 of the family's 1533-position model. The record is from RNAcentral.